AUUUGCAUGCGGUAGGAGCUGGUGGUAAAACAACACGGCCUUUUGAAGGGAGAAGAGCUCUUUGAACCUCCAGCAAGAGGGGAUACCGUUAUUUGCCUGAGAAAAAUCCUGUUCUCUAAGCAAGCCAGAGGAGGAUCGGUUGGACGCAGAGCCACUUCGGGGAGACUGAGCGGUUGUCAGGACAAGAUCCCGGCUGCCAUCAUGAACCUGUGCUAAGUCUUGGCGUUCGGAAAGCCCCGGGAGACCAGGAAGGACCUGCCCACAGGUACUAUGUGCCAAUACUCAGAAAAAUGCAAUUUCUGUGUCUGUAACCGUCCCCGAGGUUGGCCCCGCUCUGGCUGGUUUGCGCAUCAGGAUUUGCAAUGGGCCCGAAGAUGUGGGGGCCUGCCGCCUCUCCUCACCAGCCUCCAGGAAGUCUUGUCCCGGGAGACCGUCCAGCGGUGCUGGUCUGUGCCGUGAUUCCCACUCCCCUGACAAAGCGGCUCUGCUCCCUGGCCGGACAUGGCACCUUCUCUUUUGUGUGUGGAAUGUUCCAGAGCUCUCACAUGGCCCUGGCUUCCUGUAAGUCCCUGAGCAGCCUCUGGAGCUGUGUGCAGAGAUGUCCCCUCCGAGACGUUCCCAUGGUGAGAUGCACACUGGCGAGCCUCCUGGAUCCAGACGUGUCCCUCUGAGGUGGCCCAAGACGUCCUUCGUCACGCGGCUAAUGUCGACCUGCUGGGCCUGGACUCUCUGUGGCGAUUUGGGGGGGCCUGGGUUUUUCUGGGGAACUGUUUUGUGAGACUAAGUCUUCUUACCUCCUUCUGAAAUAUUGUUCUGGAGUUCCUAAUUUUCCUCAUCCGGGACUGUGUGACCACCUGCCAUGCUCGGUCUGGGAUCCCUGCCCUUGGACACCUUGUCCUCGCUGCUCUGUUCCCCUGAAGCCCAAGGUCCCCCGCUGUAGACGCACUUCCUAUAUCCAGGGCUCAGUGUUGUUGGCUCACGGAGCCACUGGGGCUGUGGUCAUGGGUUUGGUUAUUUUUUUUAUUUUUUAAUUUUUGUUUAAUGUUUAUUUAUUUUUGAGAGACAGAGACAGAGUGU
Herpailurus yagouaroundi (jaguarundi) is the source of this 1077-nucleotide long non-coding RNA. RefSeq lists it as uncharacterized. The transcript is spliced from 3 exons. NCBI's taxonomy places the organism in Eukaryota, Metazoa, Chordata, Mammalia, Carnivora, Felidae. The record is from RefSeq and is a predicted model, not a curated record.